RNAcentral lists this ribosomal RNA (383 nucleotides) under uncultured bacterium. RNAcentral describes it as "bacterial SSU rRNA". It matches the Rfam family "Bacterial small subunit ribosomal RNA", at positions 28 to 412 of the family's 1533-position model. The record is from RNAcentral.
GACGAACGCUGGCGGCGUGCUUAACACAUGCAAGUCGAGCGGUAAGGCCCUUUCGGGGGUACACGAGCGGCGAACGGGUGAGUAACACGUGGGUGACCUGCCCUCAGCUCUGGGAUAAGCCUGGGAAACCGGGUCUAAUACCGGAUAUGACUCCAUGACGCAUGUUGUGGGGUGGAAAGCCUUGUGCGGCUGAGGAUGGGCCCGCGGCCUAUCAGCUUGUUGGUGGGGUGAUGGCCUACCCAGGCGACGACGGGUAGCCGGCCUGAGAGGGCGACCGGCCACACUGGGACUGAGACACGGCCCAGACUCCUACGGGAGGCAGCAGUGGGGAAUCUUGCGCAAUGGGCGAAAGCCUGACGCAGCGACGCCGCGUGAGGGAUGAC